Molecule: ribosomal RNA, 420 nt
Filed under: uncultured eukaryote
Lineage: Eukaryota
Description: SSU rRNA
Rfam family: Eukaryotic small subunit ribosomal RNA
Source: RNAcentral
AGCUCCACUAGCGUAUAUUAAAAUUGUUGCGGUUAAAACGUUCGAAGUUGAUUAUUGUUCAGCACGGGUGUAGCGCCAUCAAGUAAAUGGCUGCAUCAUUUCCGAUUGCUUGAACUAUAUGACUGAACACUUAAUGAAUAGCGCUGAUGCCUUUCACUAGGCUAGGCGUCUAUUUAGUUCGGCUUACUUUUACCUUGAACAAAUUAAGGUGCUCAAAGCAGGCUCUUAUGCCUUGAAUAUUUUUGCAUGGAAUAAUGGAAAAAGACCUCGGUCUUAUAGAUUUUCUAUUGGUUUGAUACAGAUCAAGAGGUAAUGAUUAAUAGAAGCAGUUGGGGGCAUUAGUAUUGCGGCGCGAGAGGUGAAAUUCUUAGACCGUCGCAAGACUAACUAAAGCGAAAGCAUUUGCCAAGGAUGUUUUCA